UUUUUUUUUGAGACAGAGUCUUGCUCAGUCACCCAGGCUGGAGUGCAGUGGUGCGAUCUCUGCUCACUGCAAGCUCCGUCUCCCGGGUUCACGCCAUUAUCUAGCCUCAGCCUGCUGAGUAGCUGAACUACAGGCGCCCGCCACCAUGCCCGGAUAAUUUUUUGUAUUUUUAGUAGAGGUGGGGUUUCACCGUGUUAGCCAGGAUGGUCUCGAUCUCCUGACCUCAUGAUCCACCCGCCUCAGCCUCCCAAAGUGCUAGGAUUACAGGCGUGAGCCACUGCACCCGGCCUUUUUUUCUUUUUUGAGAUGGAGUCUCACUCUGUCGCCCAGGCUGCAGUGCAGUGCCACAAUCUCGGGUCACUACAACCUCCACCUCCCGGGUUCAAGCGAUUCUCCUGCCUCAGCCUCCCAAGUAGCUGGGAUUACAGGUGCCCACCACCACAGCCGGCUAAUUUUUAUAAUUUUAGUAGAGACGGGGUUUUGCCACGUUGGCUAAGCUGGUCACAAAUUCCUGACCUCAGGUGAUUCGCCCGCCUUGGCCUCCCAAAGUGCUGGGAUUACAGGUGUGAGCCACCGUGCCCGGCCCACAUCACAUCAUUACUUUUUAUUUCCUUACAGUUUUAUAGGAAAAGGUCAGUCCAAGAGAAACUGAAAGGAGCAGACAGUUCUGGACACUUAACGCAGGCACGACAUCUUAAACAGGCUCUGGGCCCUCUGGAAACUUUCCAGAAGCUUCUACCUUUAGGGCUCAGCCCCUUCCCCCACCUUAGAAACACCAUUCACGUUUUGUCUUUUUAUGACACUUUCUCCAAGGGGCUUGGAAACGGGCACUUUUUAAACAUAAGCGACGCCCUCCCACGGAGUGCACCUGCCCAGUGGGCUUGUGUGUGUGUCUGUGCACAUCUGUCUCUCCGUGCGGGCCCAGCCCUGCAAGCCAGCCAUGCGGUCUCUCUGCCUACGGUGCCCUUCUUCAGGCAUCAGCGCUUCCACCCACACCGUCCUUCUGCCUGACCAACCCCUACAUGUACAUCAAAGGCUGUUCUCAUGCAUCGAAGGACACCAUCAAUGGACAGAAAAAUGCAACCCAGAGAUGGAGGGAAAUGUCUGCAGAUCACACGUCUCCUAGAGACUGAUCUCUAGACUCUACAAAUAACUCCAACUCAACAACAGAAAACCAAACGUCCCAAUUUUAGGAUGGACGGAUGGUCUCCCUCGGGUCCUCGUUUCCAAGACAAGAAGGAACAAUGGUUGUGCCAAAAGGGCCACGGCUGUGAGCAGCCCAUGACUGCAGGAGCUGCACCCAAUGUGUACCCAGGGACAACGCCAUUAAGCAGUUCAUCAGGAUGCGGUAGAGUUAGGCAGUUCACUAUCGGGACGAGGUAAAGUUUGGCAGUUCACCAUCGGGAUGCGGCUGAGUUAGCAGUUCACCACUGGGACGAGGUAGAGUUUGGCAGUUCACCGUCGGGACGAGGUAGAGUUUGGCAGUUCACCGUCGGGAUGCGGCAGAGUUAGCAGUUCACCAUCAGGAUGUGGUAGAGUUAGGCAGUUCACCAUUGGGACGAGGUAGAGUUAGGCAGUUCACCAUCGGGACGAGGUAAAGUUUGGCAGUUCACCAUCGGGAUACGGCAGAGUUAGCAGUUCACCAUCGGGAUGUGGUAGAGUUAGGCAGUUCACCAUCGGGAUGCGGUAGAGUUAGGCAGUUCACCAUCGGGACGAGGUUUAGGCAGUUCACCAUCGGGACGAGGUAAAGUUUGGCAGUUCACCAUCGGGAUGCGGCAGAGUUAGCAGUUCACCAUCGGGAUGUGGUAGAGUUAGGCAGUUCACCAUCGGGAUGCGGUAGAGUUAGGCAGUUCACCAUCGGGACGAGGUUUAGGCAGUUCACCAUCGGGACGAGGUAAAGUUUGGCAGUUCACCAUCGGGAUGCGGCAGAGUUAGCAGUUCACCAUCGGGAUGUGGCAGAGUUAGCAGUUCACCAUCGGGAUGUGGUAGAGUUAGGCAGUUCACCAUCGGGACGAGGUAGAGUUAGGCAGUUCACCAUCGGGAUGCGGCAGAGUUAGCAGUUCACCAUAGGGAUGCGGUAGAGUUCGGCAGUUCACCAUCGGGAUGCGGUAGUUAGCAGUUCACCAUCGGGAUGCGGUAGAGUUUGGCAGUUCACCAUCGGGAUGCGGUAGAGUUCGGCAGUUCACCAUCGGGAUACGGCAGAGUUAGCAGUUCACCAUCGGGACGCGGUAGAGUUAGGCAGUUCACCAUCUGGAUGCAGUAGAGGCCGCAGCCUUGCAGACAUUUUGGAAGCAUCUGCGCCGACUGUGUGCUUCCCGAGCUGCGUGUGAAGCUGCGUCACUGCCCCAGUGGUGCCCUUCACAGCAAGCCAGUCAGGAAUCCUGCUCCUCAAGUCCAGGGCUAUGCACGUCACCCAAGUCUAGACCUGGGUGCUGCCCACGACCCCCACCAAGGCCCCAAGACCAUGCAUUCCACCUGGGUCUAGACCUGGGUGUUGCCCACGACUCCCACUAAGACCCACAUAAGGAGCUGAGUCCUUAAGGACUAAAGACAAACUAUCCUCUGGGGAAAAAAAUACGGAAAUUAUACUUUAAAAAAAGGGCAAAGGACUUGAAUAGACAUUUCCCCAAAGAAGAAAAACCGACGACCAAGAAGCAGUGAAAAGGCAUUCCACAUCAUCGUUCAGCAGAGAAACCCAUCCAAGCCACCACCGCACCACGAUCCAGCCUCGCAGAAAAGGGCAACUGGCAGCAAGUGCCAGCCGGCGUGCAGAAGCCAGGCCCUCCAUCCGCUGAGUGUGCUGCGUGCUGCUGCACUGUGCUCUUGAUUCUACCGGCCAGGGCGGCAGUCCUGCUCUUGAUUCUACAGGCGAGGGCGGCAGUCCCUGCUCUUCAAUCUAAAGACGAGGGCAGCUGUCCCCUGCUCUUGAUUCUACAGGCGAGGGCGGCUGUCCCUGCUCUUGAUUCUACAAGCAAGGGCAGCUGUCCCUGCUCUUGAUGCUACAGGCCAGGGCGGCUGUCCCUGCUCUUGAUGCUACAGGCCAGGGCGGCUGUCCCUGCUGAUUCUACAGGUGAGGGCGGCUGUCCCUGCUCUUGAUUCUACAGGCCAGGGCGGCUGUCCCUGCUCUUGAUUCUACAGGCCAGGGCGGCUGUCCCUUGCUCUUGAUUCUACAGGCCAGGGCGGCUGUCCCUUGCUCUUGAUGCUACAGGCCAGGGCGGCUGUCCCUGCUCUUGAUUCUACAGGCAAAGGCGGCUGUCCCUUGCUCUUGAUUCUACAGGCCAGGGCGGCUGUCCCUGCUCUUGAUUCUACAGGCCAGGGCGGCUGUCCCGUGCUCUUGAUUCUACAGGCCAGGGCGGCUGUCCCGUGCUCUUGAUUCUACAGGCCAGGGCGGCUGUCCCUGCUCUUGAUUCUACAGGCGAAGGCGGCUGUCCCUUGCUCUUGAUUCUACAGGCCAGGGCGGCUGUCCCUGCUCUUGAUUCUACAGGCCAGGGCGGCUGUCCCUGCUCUUGAUUCUACAGGCCAGGGCGGCUGUCCCUGCUCUUGAUUCUACAGGCCAGGGCGGCUGUCCCUUGCUCUUGAUGCUACAGGCCAGGGCAGCUGUCCCUGCUCUUGAUUCUACAGGCAAAGGCGGCUGUCCCUUGCUCUUGAUUCUACAGGCCAGGGCGGCUGUCCCUGCUCUUGAUUCUACAGGCCAGGGCGGCUGUCCCGUGCUCUUGAUUCUACAGGCCAGGGCGGCUGUCCCGUGCUCUUGAUUCUACAGGCCAGGGCGGCUGUCCCGUGCUCUUGAUUCUACAGGCCAGGGCGGCUGUCCCUGCUCUUGAUUCUACAGGCGAAGGCGGCUGUCCCUUGCUCUUGAUUCUACAGGCCAGGGCGGCUGUCCCUGCUCUUGAAUCUACAGGCCAGGGCGGCUGUCCCUGCUCUUGAUUCUACAGGCCAGGGCGGCUGUCCCUGCUCUUGAUUCUACAGGCCAGGGCGGCUGUCCCUGCUCUUGAUUCUACAGGCCAGGGCGGCUGUCCCUGCUCUUGAUUCUACAGGCCAGGGCGGCUGUCCCUGCUCUUGAUUCUACAGGCCAGGGCGGCUGUCCCUGCUCUUGAUUCUACAGGCCAGGGCGGCUGUCCCUGCUCUUGAUUCUACAGGCCAGGGCGGCUGUCCCUGCUCUUGAUUCUACAGGCCAGGGCGGCUGUCCCUUGCUCUUGAUGCUACAGGCCAGGGCGGCUGUCCCUGCUCUUGAUUCUACAGGCAAAGGCGGCUGUCCCUUGCUCUUGAUUCUACAGGCCAGGGCGGCUGUCCCUUGCUCUUGAUUCUACAGGCCAGGGCGGCUGUCCCUGCUCUUGAUUCUACAGGCCAGGGCGGCUGUCCCGUGCUCUUGAUUCUACAGGCCAGGGCGGCUGUCCCGUGCUCUUGAUUCUACAGGCCAGGGCGGCUGUCCCUGCUCUUGAUUCUACAGGCGAAGGCGGCUGUCCCUUGCUCUUGAUUCUACAGGCCAGGGCGGCUGUCCCUGCUCUUGAAUCUACAGGCCAGGGCGGCUGUCCCUGCUCUUGAUUCUACAGGCCAGGGCGGCUGUCCCUGCUCUUGAUUCUACAGGCCAGGGCGGCUGUCUCUGCUCUUGAUUCUACAGGCCAGGGCGGCUGUCCCUGCUCUUGAUUCUACAGGCCAGGGCGGCUGUCCCGUGCACACUCACAAGUGAAACAACACUCUUCAGGGAGGCACCGCGCUCAGGCCGUCAACACCCUUCCCGCACCUCCCUCCUCCGGUGGUUCUGUCAAGCAGGGACACAGGGACGGAGGGGCCUUGGUCAUUUUGGUCCUGGCUGUUGAAGCCCCCAUGAGGCUGACCUGAGAGGCCAAAGUUGGACACCACGAUUGCCACAAAGGCCAUAGCUGCUUCUCCUUGACGGUCACCUCGACGUGCCAAUGUGGCCAAGCAGGCAGGCGCCAGCAACACCCACAAGACAGAUGCUGAUGGCCCGGGGACUCCCCUAGGCCACCCCUAGAUGGCGCCAUGGCCCAGGGCCACCAGGAGCCAUGGCUGCUGCAAAAGGAACGGGGAUGCCGGGAAAAGCCUGGGGACCACGUCACCCACCCACAGAGCCGGGGCCUCUAGAGCACCUUGCUCUUGAAUCAGAGGCUGCUCUGGGAUGCUCCUCCCGCUGGACGUCUGCGUCCCACCCAUCCUGCAGGCUCCGCACCCGGUUGCCCACGGUGCGCGUCAGAACAGGAUUCUCAGCAACAGUGAAGAGGAAAAGUGUAAGAAGACUAUGAAACAACGUCCCCAUGGAUACCAUUUAGACACAAACAGCGGCCUGUUCUCUAAGCACAGUCAGCCGAGUGUCUUGUUCCCAGCAAGCCACAGCCACUGACCACAUGGAGCCCUCUGACCACACAGGGCCCCAGGAUGUCACUCUGGAAAAGCUCCUUCCGGUGCUCUGAGCGUUCCCCUCUGGCAGCGUCUGGCUCUUCAUUCGUGGAUGCGGUAUCUCUGAUGACGCCAAUGGUAAGAUGUCCUUCCCUGAGCUCUUUUCCUGCCUGUCUGGGUCUUUCCUCACAUUCUGGUGACCCUCAAGGACAGACCCUAGCCAGGAAGCUGGUGACUCUGGCUUCUAAGUUGGGGCUCUCGGCGGCGUCUCGUGGCCGCUUCUUUUGGGCUGACGGUUAUCCUGCCAUCAUCCUGCCACGGGCUCCCAUCUGCAUAUCAGGAGGCCCUGAGUUCCCAGGCAAGGAGGGGCUUGCUCAGGCCACCCUGUCCCCUGCCACCCUGUCCCCCACCAUCCCCAGUGGUGUCUGCUGUCCACGACUCAAUUUUCCCAGAGAAUAAACCUCCUGUGCUCCCUGCUGGGAACCACACCAGGCACUGCCCUGACCUCCCCUUCCCCUCACAUGGCAUUCCAAGCAGAUCGCAUGGCCCCUCACCCAGCCGUGGCAGCACCGCUGUUCCCAAACCAUCAAACCUCUCUCACCUAUCAGUCCACGUUUUUAUUUUUAUUUUUUGAGAAGGUGUCUCGUUCUGUCACCCAGGCUGGAGUGCAGUGGUGAGGCCAAGGCUCACUGCAGCCUCCAACUCCUAGGCUCACGUGCUCCUCAUAGCUCAGCCUCCUGAGUAGCUGGGACUACAGGUGUGCACCACCACACCUGGCUAAUUUUGUAUCUUUUGUACAGUCAGGGGUCUCGCUGUGUUGCCCAGGCUGGUCUUGAGCUCCUGAGCUCAAGCAAUCUGCCCACCUUGACCUCCCAAAGUGCUGGGAUGACAGGUAUGAGCCGCCACACAAUUGUAGCACAAUCUUGGCUCAUGGCAACCUCCACCUUCUGGGUUCAAGUGAUUCUUGUGCCUCUGCCUCCCAAGGAGUGGGGACUACAGGUGCCCGCCACCAUGCCCAGCUAAUUUUUUUUGCAUUUUUUGUAGAGAUGGGGUUUCACCAUGUUGGCUAGGCUUGUCUUGAACUCCUGACCUCAAGUGAUCUGCCUGCCUCGGCCUCCUAAAGUGCUGGGAUUACAGGCGUGAGCCACCAUGGCCAGCCGAGUUUCAUUCUUUUCAGGAUGGUAAAGGGAAUGCCACAACCAUUUGUCUAGAAGGGGCCUGGGUCUGAUGGCGCUGAGGGCCACAGAUUGGCAGCCUGAAGCCAGCAUCCUGGGCCUCCCAGGUUUGGCACAGCACCUAGCCCUUCAGGAUCAAAAAAGGACAGAGGACGAGGUGGGAGCUAAGCAGGCUCAGGAGUGAUAAGAUUUGGCUGUGUCCCCGCCCAAAUCUCACCUUGACUAAUCCCCACAGGUUGAGGGCGGGGCCAGAUGGAGAUAAUUAAAUCAUGGGGGUGGUUCCCCCCUGCUGUUUUUGUGCGGGUGAGUGAGUUCUCCCGACACCUGAUGGUUUUAGGAGGGGCUUCCCCCUUCACUCAGCACUCAUUCUCUCUGGAGCUGCCCUGUGUGAGGUACCUUCCGCCAUGACUGUAAAUUUCCUGAGGCCUCUGCAGCCAUGCGGAACUGUGAGUCAAUUAAACCUCUUUUCUUUACAAAUGACCCAGUCUGGGGUAUUUCUUCCUAGCAGCGUGAGAACAGGUGAGUACAUGGGCGUGGAGGCUGCCCAGGAACGUGUGGAGGGAGGUGGGGACGGGCACAGCACGUUGCCUGGCUGCAGACUCAGGCACCCUUCAGAGGGGGUCUCACAGCAUCAAUCUGAAAACGGGCAGUGGAGGGGGAGGAAGGGGUCUGAAAAUGUCACUGAGGCGUUUGCUUUACUAGGUGCGACUUCGUUUUCUUUUCUUUUUCUUUUUUGUCUGCUUUACCAGAUGCGACUUUCUUUUCUUUUCUUUUCGUUUUUGAGACGGAGUCUUGCUCUGUCGCCCAGGCUGGAGUGCAGUGGCGCGAUCUCGGCUCACUGCAAGCUCCGCCUUCUGGGUUCAUGCCAUUCUCCUGCCUCAGCCUCCCGAGUAGCUGGGACUACAGGCGCCCACCACCGCGCCUGCCUAAUUUUUUGUAUUUUUGGUAGAGACGGGGUUUCACCGUGGUCUCCAUCUCCUGACCUUGUGAUCCGCCCGCCUAGGCCUCCCAAAGUGCUGCGAUUACAGGCGUGAGCCACCGCGCCCGGCCCCCCGUUUUUUUUUUUUUUUGAGACAGUUUCACUCUCGUUGUCCAGGCCGGAGUGUGGUGGCGCAAUAUCAGCUCACUGCAACCUCUACCUCCCAUGUUCAAGUGAUUCUCCUGCCUCAGCCUCCCGAGUAGCUGGGAUUACAGGCACCCACCACCAUGCCCAACUAAUUUUUUUUUUUGUAUUUUUAGUAGAGAUGGGGUUUCACCAUGUUGGCCAGGCUGGUCUCAAACUCCUGACCUCAGGUUAUCCACCCACCUCGGCCUCCCAAAGCGCUGGGAUGACAGGGUUGAGCCACCGUGCCCAGGCGACUUUGUUUUCAACAGUCAUCAACGUGCUGGUGGUCUGGGGAGUGGACGUGGCACCUGUGCCCCUGCCCAUGGAGGCCAAUCUGCCCAGGGACUGUCAGCAGAGUUGCUGUAAGGCAGCCGAGGGAGGCUGGCUGCUGAGCCUGCGUAGCACCCUCGGCUCGGAAGUGGGACCCUCGGCCACCUGAGUGGAGGUUCCUUGGCUCAGGUGGUAGUCUGUCUGUCUGGGCCGGCCUGCCACCAGCAGCCAUGUUCCUGCAGGGCACAGUGCAGGGGCUGUUUGCUGCUGAGUUGCUAGCAUGGGACUCUGCAGACAGGAUUAAGGUGCACGGAUCUCGAGGUGGGAGAUUAUCCGGGAUUAUCUGGGUGGGGCCAAUUAACUACAUAAGUCCUUAACCGCCUUUCCUGGCUGAGCUACAGAUGAGACAGAAGGAGAGUCAAAGCAUGAGAGGGACUUCACCCGCCAGUGCUGGCUCUGCAGAUGGGCAAGGGCCCUCCGUGAACAACGCAGGCGGCCUGGAGAAGCCGGGAAAGGCUCGGCUUGCACCCAGCAAGGUGCUACUGCCAGUCCUACCACCAGCAAGAACGGAAUUCUGCCAACCUCCCAACGAGCAAGAGAACAUCUUCCUGUAGGGCCUGCAAAAAGCAAAGCCCUGGCCAACACCUUGACUUCAGCCCAGGGAAACCCACACUGGACUGAGGACCGAGAGGACUGUGUGUCAGCCAACACCUUGACUUCAGCUCAGGGAAACCCACACUGGACUGAGGACCGAGAGGACUGCGUGUCAGCCAACACCUUGACUUCAGCCCAGGGAAACCCACACUGGACUGAGGACCGAGAGGACUGCGUGUCAGCCAACACCUUGACUUCAGCCCAGGGAAACCCACACUGGACUGAGGACCGAGAGGACUGUGUGUCAGCCAACACCUUGACUUCAGCCCAGGGAAACCCACACUGGACUGAGGACCGAGAGGACUGUGUGUCAGCCAACACCUUGACUUCAGCCCAGGGAAACCCACACUGGACUGAGGACCGAGAGGACUGUGUGUCAGCCAACACCUUGACUUCAGCCCAGGGAAACCCACACUGGACUGAGGACCGAGAGGACUAUGUGUCAGCAAUAACAGAAAAGGAGUAGAAAGGCCAUCUAUUGCGGCCCUGUAUUUAUUAUAAAUAAACUGAAUCCAAACUAAAAAUCCACCCACUGGGGAAUGGUUACUGACAGAAUAGAAAUGUUCUAUGGCUAUUACAAAGAAACAAGCUUGCAGCCAUCAGCAUGGCUAAAAGGAAGGCAGGACUUAGAACAAACAGGACUCUCCCUCUCUCCUGUGGGACAGAAACUGUGUGACUGCUUUGGAGAACGGGUUGGCAGCAUCUACACAGGCCCUACAGCCCAGCUUCCACUCCUCAGUACGUCCCAACAGCAAUGGGCACCUGUGUUGACCAAACGCGUCUGAGACUCCUCACAGGAGCCCUGUGAGAGUCACCCAACAUGGAAACCAUCCCAAAGCCCAUCUGGAGUGGAGCCAAUGCACUGCAGCCUUGACACACGGGAGACCACUCGGCGCGGGGAAGGAGGGAGCAACUGCACUCAACCACGUGGCCGAAGCUCACCCAGAAGACAUGGAAAGAAGGCAGCCGGACACAGGAGAGUUUGCCCUGUGUGGCUCCAUUGACGUGAAAACUAGACAAGGCAGAUGAGUCCACAGUGACAUGCCAGGCCGGGGGCAGAGUGUGAGAGGCCUGCAGAGGGCGAGGCUGCGAGGGCUGAUGCUUUCUCAGGCCGGCAUGCCUGUCCGCACUCACUGUAUUGCAGACUUUAAAGGGGUUUUUUUGUACACAAAUUACACCUCAAUAAAGCUGAUUAAUUAAAAGACGGAAA
Long non-coding RNA from Homo sapiens (human), 9769 nucleotides. RefSeq lists it as uncharacterized. The record is from RefSeq and is a predicted model, not a curated record. The transcript has 2 exons. NCBI's taxonomy places the organism in Eukaryota, Metazoa, Chordata, Mammalia, Primates, Hominidae.